CUGAGCUGGAUGUCAGAGCGCUGCUCUCAGCACAACACACUUAACAGAUAUCCAACACUAUCAGUACUACAGCUGAUGUCACAGAGGGCUGACGCGGCCAAACCCCCGACAAAACAGUGUUAAAUCUGCGAGGGGGAAAUGAAAAGGUGUAAGGACGGGAAUAAUCCGCCGUUUGACUGUCUGCUGUGGGGCAUGUGAUGGAGAUGUGGCAGUGCCAUCUGCUGCUCAGACAAACACUUGUGAGGCACCAUCCCAUCAUCACACUCCUACAUGGUCGUGAUCCACAUAUUUGAUUUGGCAAAGAUGUUAUACCUUCCUGAUGCAACUCUUCCCAUUUAUCCGGACUUGGGACUGGCACCAUAAGUACAUUGGAUGGCUGGGUUAACCUGGAGCAUACAAGCAUCAUCAAAAAAUCUGUCACUCACACGUGUUGGCCAGCGCUGGAAUAUUUUUUGGUUUGGAAAAGUGUUACGGUAUUGUCGCUCCUGGAGGCUAAACUCUUGGACCGUGGAUGCGUCGUAAAGGGAUCAAUCAUCACUGGACGACAAGGAUUCUUGGUCGCAGAUGAACAAACUGUGCCAGCACUCAGUCGACACCAACAACCCAGCAAUUUCAAGAAGAAAAUAGUUUAGCACAGAUUUACUCUGGCCGCAACAUCCUGCUUUGUAGCUGACAUGCUACAUCGCUAUGUAAAUAAAAUCUUGUUUUCCCCAUAAAUCAGAGACGAUGGUUGACACACGUGACACGAAACAUAGUUAAAAGAUAAUUCUGAUUGGAACUGCUCAUGGUCAUAGCUCUUCGGGCAGAAAUAGUCUUAAAGGUCCAGUGUAAUGUUUUGUGGGGUUU
Molecule: long non-coding RNA, 846 nt
Organism: Solea senegalensis (Senegalese sole)
Lineage: Eukaryota; Metazoa; Chordata; Actinopteri; Pleuronectiformes; Soleidae
Exons: 3
Source: RefSeq, a predicted model, not a curated record